AUUGAACGCUGGCGGAAUGCUUUUACACAUGCAAGUCGAACGGCAGCACGGGUGCUUGCACCUGGUGGCGAGUGGCGAACGGGUGAGUAAUACGUAGGAACAUAUCCUGUAAUGGGGGAUAACGCACCGAAAGGUGUGCUAAUACCGCAUACGCCCUGAGGGGGAAAGCGGGGGAUUCGAAAGAACCUCGCGUUAUUGGAGUGGCCUACGGCUGAUUAGCUAGUUGGCGAGGUAAAGGCUCACCAAGGCGACGAUCAGUAGCUGGUCUGAGAGGAUGAUCAGCCACACUGGAACUGAGACACGGUCCAGACUCCUACGGGAGGCAGCAGUGGGGAAUUUUGGACAAUGGGGGCAACCCUGAUCCAGCCAUUCCGCGUGAGUGAAGAAGGCCU
RNAcentral lists this ribosomal RNA (392 nucleotides) under uncultured bacterium. RNAcentral's name for it is "bacterial SSU rRNA". It matches the Rfam family "Bacterial small subunit ribosomal RNA", at positions 30 to 417 of the family's 1533-position model. The record is from RNAcentral.